CAUGUGUAGCGGUGAAAUGCGCAGAGAUAUGGAGGAACACCAGUGGCGAAGGCGGCUCUCUGGUCUGUAACUGACGCUGAUGUGCGAAAGCGUGGGGAUCAAACAGGAUUAGAUACCCUGGUAGUCACGCCGUAAACGAUGAGUGCUAAGUGUUAGGGGGUUUCCGCCCCUUUAGUGCUGCAGCUAACGCAUUAAGCACUCCGCCUGGGGAGUACGACCGCAAGGUUGAAACUCAAAGGAAUUGACGGG
This 249-nucleotide ribosomal RNA is filed under the name Mammaliicoccus sciuri. RNAcentral's name for it is "Staphylococcus sciuri partial 16S ribosomal RNA". It matches the Rfam family "Bacterial small subunit ribosomal RNA", at positions 670 to 917 of the family's 1533-position model. The record is from RNAcentral. Lineage: Bacteria; Bacillati; Bacillota; Bacilli; Caryophanales; Staphylococcaceae.